RNAcentral lists this transfer RNA (87 nucleotides) under Onchocerca flexuosa. It matches the Rfam family "tRNA". Rfam says of the family: Transfer RNA (tRNA) molecules are approximately 80 nucleotides in length. Their secondary structure includes four short double-helical elements and three loops (D, anti-codon, and T loops). Lineage: Eukaryota; Metazoa; Nematoda; Chromadorea; Rhabditida; Onchocercidae. The record is from Rfam by way of RNAcentral.
CCAGCCAUAGCUCAGUUGGUAGAGCGGAGGACUGUAGAGUGUAGCGUAGUGAUCCUUAGGUCGCUGGUUCGAAUCCGGCUGGCUGGA